This 484-nucleotide ribosomal RNA is filed under the name uncultured bacterium. RNAcentral's name for it is "partial 16S ribosomal RNA". It matches the Rfam family "Bacterial small subunit ribosomal RNA", at positions 30 to 507 of the family's 1533-position model. The record is from RNAcentral.
AUUGAACGCUGGCGGCAGGCCUAACACAUGCAAGUCGAGCGGAUGAAGGGAGCUUGCUCCUGGAUUCAGCGGCGGACGGGUGAGUAAUGCCUAGGAAUCUGCCUGGUAGUGGGGGAUAACGUCCGGAAACGGGCGCUAAUACCGCAUACGUCCUGAGGGAGAAAGUGGGGGAUCUGCGGACCUCACGCUAUCAGAUGAGCCUAGGUCGGAUUAGCUAGUUGGUGGGGUAAAGGCCUACCAAGGCGACGAUCCGUAACUGGUCUGAGAGGAUGAUCAGUCACACUGGCACUGAGACACGGUCCCGACUCCUACGGGAGGCAGCAGUGCGGAAUAUUGGACGAAGGGCGAAUGGCUGAUCCAGCCAUGCCGCGUGUGUGAAGAAGGUCUUCGGAUUGUAAAGCACUUUAAGUUGGGAGGAAGGGCAGUAAGUUAAUACCUUGCUGUUUUGACGUUACCCACGGAAUAAGCACCGGCUAACUUCGUG